UCGAAUUACUACGUAUAUAAGAUUAUUUGUCUGGAUCAUCUUAUAUUUAAUUAAAUAAGAAAUAAAUAUUGAAUUUAUUUUCGAUUUAAAUUUGAGGCAAUUGGGAUGUGGAGGGUUAAUUUUGUAUUUUUGCAUCAGUUGCAGGAUAACCUGCGCUCAGUAAUGUUAAGAUACUCACUCCACUCGCUAUUUAUAUUUUGGGGGUUAUCUUGUGCUAUUGGUAAUGUUGCACUACCAAUUUGAUUACUUGUCAAAUGAACCAAAUAUAGUAAUUUGAAAAGAUUACUGCGGGAUACCUUGUAAUUUUAGUAGGAUAAUGCAAACCAAACGCACCCUAAAGUAAAUUUUAUUUUACUACAAAGUAAUUUUCCCCACUUUCGUAAAGUUGAAAAAAUAAAUAAACAAAUUUUGACACAAAUCCAAUUCAGUCUAAUUCACAUGAAGCACACAU
This 451-nucleotide long non-coding RNA is filed under the name Ananas comosus (pineapple). Its description in RNAcentral is "long non-coding RNA (ACOM_LNC022632)". The record is from RNAcentral. Lineage: Eukaryota; Viridiplantae; Streptophyta; Magnoliopsida; Poales; Bromeliaceae.